UACGAAGGGGGGCUAGCGUUGCUCGGAAUCACUGGGCGUAAAGGGUGCGUAGGCGGGUCUUUAAGUCAGGGGUGAAAUCCUGGAGCUCAACUCCAGAACUGCCUUUGAUACUGAGGAUCUUGAGUUCGGGGAGAGGUGAGUGGAACUGCGAGUGUAGAGGUGAAAUUCGUAGAUAUUCGCAAGAACACCAGUGGCGAAGGCGGCUCACUGGCCCGAUACUGACGCUGAGGCACGAAAGCGUGGGGGAGCAAACAGG
This 256-nucleotide ribosomal RNA is filed under the name uncultured bacterium. RNAcentral's name for it is "partial 16S ribosomal RNA". It matches the Rfam family "Bacterial small subunit ribosomal RNA", at positions 524 to 776 of the family's 1533-position model. The record is from RNAcentral.